GAUGAACGCUAGCGGCAGGCUUAACACAUGCAAGUCGAGGGGCAGCAUGAAUGUAGCAAUACAUUUGAUGGCGACCGGCGCACGGGUGCGUAACGCGUAUGCAACCUACCUAUAACAGGGGGAUAAUCCGAAGAAAUUUGGUCUAAUACCCCAUAAUAUCUGAGAAGGCAUCUUUUCAGGUUGAAAGCUCCGACGGUUAUAGAUGGGCAUGCGUUGUAUUAGGUAGUUGGUGAGGUAACGGCUCACCAAGCCGACGAUACAUAGGGGGACUGAGAGGUUAACCCCCCANACUGGUACUGAGACACGGACCAGACUCCUACGGGAGCAGCAGUGAGGAAUAUUGGUCAAUGGACGCAAGUCUGAACCAGCCAUGCCGCGUGCAGGAUGACGGCUCUAUGAGUUGUAAACUGCUUUUAUACGAGGGUAAACGCAGGUACGUGUACCUGUCUGAAAGUAUCGUAUGAAUAAGGAUCGGCU
This 477-nucleotide ribosomal RNA is filed under the name uncultured bacterium. RNAcentral describes it as "bacterial SSU rRNA". It matches the Rfam family "Bacterial small subunit ribosomal RNA", at positions 28 to 498 of the family's 1533-position model. The record is from RNAcentral.